GGAAACUUGAAUAUUCGUAACUUAAGUACUAACGUCCUAACAGAGGUCCACGUUAUCAGCAAGUUCGUGCACGUCAAAAACCCUCACUUCAGUUUUCUUAUCGAACCAUGAAGACACCAACUCCAAAGUUGUCUAACUAAAGUUGUCUCCCUACGACCACGUCAUUGGUAUAGAUACACGUUCCUUAAGACGAAGAACGUCGACAUCCUGGUACUCUACAGCUGCGAUGUGCUAUCCCCUGUGGUUCCAGGGUCGGUUCAGUCACUACAACGGGGCUGAGGGAUAAAGAAGUCGAACUCCUUCGGGACACCGUCGGACUGAGAGAAGAAGGAUAACAGCAGGAUAGACUGGACGAUGAUCCGUUGAUGAUGAUGAGUGCUAACUAUCUACGAUAGAACGCUUGUUGACUCGUCAGAGCCGAUAUGAAAUUGGGUCUGUAGUUUCUUCGUUUAUCGAACUAUAUACCAAGUCCCUCGAGGCUGCGAACGAGGCUGGUUUCUUCAAAAAGUGUGACCGUGUAUCACCGUAACCGACUCCACAAACAUUGUUUAACAUGUCUAGAACUAAUUAAAACGAGACAAAAAAGGAGGGGGAAUAUGGUAUGAUAUAAUUACUUUUAAACUGGUAUCUUGAUAACAACAUACCAAACACCAAUUUGUUUUUCUUGGUCGUUCCUCCACCUCAAACGCUUCGUGUGCAAGCUGGUACUGUUGGGGUUCGUACACAGGGGUAUGCUGCUCCGCUGGUCCACUUAUGGUGAGUACUCUACACACUCGAGACCGCUUCUCGUACUCAUCUUCGUAUCUUGUGUAAACAGUAAUCCCUGAGCGCUCCUACAACAACGUUGUAUGCCCGAGUAAAUGAAUUUUUAUUUGUCUAAAGUUUUCUGUACACAAUAUAAACUCUCUGCAC
This 912-nucleotide ribosomal RNA is filed under the name Triticum aestivum (bread wheat). RNAcentral describes it as "partial small subunit ribosomal RNA". Lineage: Eukaryota; Viridiplantae; Streptophyta; Magnoliopsida; Poales; Poaceae. The record is from RNAcentral.